GAGAGAGAGAGAGAGAGACAGAGAGAGAGACCACCACCGUCGCCGCCGUGACGCCAUUUCCACCCGGAGAUCUAAAAGUUGGGAACUUGGGGUUAAGAUGGCGCCGGCGCCGGCGGUGGGGCUGAACAAGGGCCACUUUAUCACCAAGCGCGGAGCUUCCGCCUCGUCCUUCCGCCCUUAAAGGAGGAAGUUGCUGAAUUGGCACCACAUGAUCACUGAGCUUUUGUGGAUUUGUAAGGACUAGCAUGCUCUUAAGUUGGCUAAAAGAAAGCUCGGUCGCACACAAGAGCUAAGAAGAAGCGUGAGAAGAUGCCCAAUGUUCUUAGGAGGAUGAGGUACGCUUCUACUUUUCAUUCUUGUAUACUUCGAGAGAAUACUACCAAAAUUUGAAAGAGUUGCUUUUGUUGAUGGAGAUAAAGUUUUGUGUAUCAAAUCAUGUUGUGACCCAAACCAAUCAUCUAAGAGUUGCUCCAAGUUGAAAGCAAGGCAUCUUUUGACAAUAUCCUUGCACUACAAGGUUAAGAGCCGUAUUUAAAUUGAGCAAUGUGCCCACCAUUUAUCCAUUUUACUUUUAGAUGAAUGCUCAUUCGCGUGGGAGAAAUUAUGCUCAAAACAUAGUUCUUUUGCUGAAGUAUAGUGUAACCUAGUAAGUUAUUAGCAGGAAGCUCAACAGUUUAAGUCGAUAACUUAGCUAGUUUGUUUUAAAUUGUGCCAUAGAAGCUUUGCAAGUAAUCUAUUUCAAGGCUUUAUGGUCAGUUUCAAGUACACAGGACUAUCCUAGUACUAUCAGUUCUUUCCCACUAGUUGAUUUAGUUUAAGUGUUUUUUCUUUGCAUGACUUAAAAUCAUUUCCCUUGUUUGUUGCACCACCCUUUCAUUUUCCAACAACACAACCGCACAACCAUGCCUCUCCAUUUCAUUCUAUAUGGUGUAGGGCGUUUUUAUUGUUUAUUUCUUGCUGUAUAUCUCUUUACAGGAUGCCAUAUUGAUCCUUGUUUAUUAGAUUCAGAUGAAAAUGAUAUAUGGUAUGGUGCCAAAUGCAGUCAUAUUUAUUAUGGUUGCUUCAGAUUGAGAAUAUUAUGCAUUUUAGCUGCGAAAUAGUAGAACAAUGUCAAGUAUCUAACGGCAGUCCAUAACAGAGCAGAUCAUAUGUAAUUGUGGAAGCAAUUAUCAAGCACAGAACAAAAAAGGAUCGACUAGGCACCAGAUACCUUUCAUUCAGUUGAAUGCAUCAUUGUGUACAAAGAAAAGUGAGUCUGGGAACAAAUAAUUAGAGUAUAAAAAGGUUCCCUAACCAGCUACUGUCAAUUGUUGUCAUACGUUUCACCACAAAUGGAGGCUUCGGUCAUGAGUUGUGUACGUAUUGGUUCAUGACAUCACAUAAUCCACGCAAUCUAUGUCAUUAUCUACUCGAUCUGGCAAUCCAUCACAGGAACCACUGUUGCACCAGAUGUUGAUGGGGGCUAUCACAACUAUCUGGAGGGAUGCUUUUGCAUUCUGGAGGAUAUGGAUGAACUGAAAGGCGGAACUACUUUGGAACACUGUUCAGCUGAAUUAUUCCAGUCCAAAUCUGGUAGCAGUAGUUCUACUCUUGAUUGAGUUUCAUAAAGUUGUUAGCAACUUAAAUUUAAAUCACUGAACUAGUAGUGCAGUACAGCAGUUACUUGAUUCAUCAUUUUGCUCGAUGUGGUGUUCUUUGUGUUUAUAAUUAUUACAGUGCUGCUAACUACUUCUGAUCUUGUCUUCAGAUCUGCGAAGUGAAGCGGCGCAACUUGCUAGAAGUGCUGCCUGUGUUGAGAAUUGACUACUCAGUUCUGAUAGACAUAAUUUUACAGGACGUAUCUUGUGAAGGAAAUCGAGCUUGCACAUGGAUACUCAUUUGACUGAAAGUAGACAAUAGAAGGUCUUGAUUCCUUGUUAUAAAGUUCUGUCAGUGUUCUGGUUGUUUAUUUUCUCAGUUUUAUGAAUCACUUGAAUAUGCUGAUAGUCUGUGUUUUGUGAGGGACUAGGCAGCUGGAGCAAUCUAUAUCUUGGUGAUGUAGUAUCUAAUAUGAGUUGUGUCUUGUUCCAUCAGUUGCUUUUUCAGAGAAAUAUAUGUUUCCACUGCUCUGAAGGCAUCAUAGGAUUCUGAAUAUUCUGAGACAAACUGAUAUUCUGACGUCUAUUAUUUUGCUAAAUCA
Molecule: long non-coding RNA, 2179 nt
Organism: Panicum virgatum (switchgrass)
Lineage: Eukaryota; Viridiplantae; Streptophyta; Magnoliopsida; Poales; Poaceae
Exons: 3
Source: RefSeq, a predicted model, not a curated record